AUGCCGUCGUGGCCGAACAGCAACGAGACGUCAGACGACGAUGACGAGUACAUGAGCGAGUUCAGCAGCAUGCAGAUGGAGUACUUUCAAACUCCUGACACUGUGAUAGACCCUAGUUUCUGUGGGCUUGUGACUGAAUCUGACAGAAGGUGCAUCCUGCACAGGCAGAGGGCGGGCAAGUUUAUGGCAUUUGAAGGCACUGACACUGGCAGGAGAUUCAUAGGAUGUGCUACUGAGGAUGGUGUGAACUGUGGUGUUCUGGAGUGGGUAGAUGCCCCCUGGCCUGUAAUUCUGCAAAGGUGCUUAAGCAAGCUCUGGAAUAUGUAUCAUGAGCAGAACCUUGGUAGAGCCCAGGAUAAUGAGGCUCAUGGGAUAGAGGUGGCAAAACUGCAGAAGGAGCUUGCUUCUCUGGCCAAUCAGUAUAGCCAGCUGGUGGAUGAUGUGUCCAAGUUGUUUGAUUAUCAGGAUGGAAUCAAAUCUCAUGACAUGGAUUGCACAAGCCAGGCAAUCAAUGAACUGAAGGAGAUGAAGAAGCAACUUGAGGAGCAGGCAAAGAUUGAGCUUCAAAUGGGGAAGCUUAAGCUCAAGAAAGAACAAAGGUGCAUCCUUCAGAGUCAAGCUGAUAUAAUCCAAAACACAAGGAAGGCCAUGAAGGAGCUAGAGGUGGAGAAAGAUCUCCUUAAAGAAGAGAAGAAGAAGCUGGAGAAUGUCAUUGUUGAGCUCCUUAAGGUUGGUCAUGGGUGCAAGGAAAAGCUGGACAAGAUAAAGGAAGUUGUGAUGGAGGAGUGA
Molecule: ribosomal RNA, 789 nt
Filed under: Triticum aestivum (bread wheat)
Lineage: Eukaryota; Viridiplantae; Streptophyta; Magnoliopsida; Poales; Poaceae
Description: partial small subunit ribosomal RNA
Source: RNAcentral